AUGAAGAGAUUUUUGAGGGGCUUAUCGAGCCGAAGCUCGAAGGAUAAGCAAAGUGAGGAGGAUAAGAGGCCCAAGUAUAAUCUCCCUCGCACCGCGGAAGUUCGGCCGUGUGAAUGGCCUUGUGAUAAUUUCUUGAGAGCAGCCAGGAUUUAUGAUGAUUUCUAUGAAUUGGAUGAGAAUGCAGGCCUCACCGCCUUCCUCCACGACCAACGCAAACAGUAUCUCUUACUCACCAAUAUCUUUGUGCAAAACUUCCAUUUCCAUGCUAGGAGCUCACCACCUAUGGUGGAAUUUUAUUUAUAUGAUGAGCAUAAGGAGAUGUCACUUCAUGUUUUUUGUUGGGUUUGUUUGAUCCCUUUCGAGGGCAACGUAGAGGAACCCCAUUGUGACGAUGUGGAUGGGUUAAUUGACACCAUUACUGUAGGGGAAAUGAGGAAGUUUCCGACGCACGAAUUACUAGCAUACACUUUCCCGUUCUACGUUACUUUGCUAUAUUUGCUAGUAGAUGCUUAA
This 513-nucleotide ribosomal RNA is filed under the name Triticum aestivum (bread wheat). RNAcentral's name for it is "partial small subunit ribosomal RNA". The record is from RNAcentral. Lineage: Eukaryota; Viridiplantae; Streptophyta; Magnoliopsida; Poales; Poaceae.